GAUGAACGCUGGCGGCGUGCCUAAUACAUGCAAGUCGAGCGAACGGACGAGAAGCUUGCUUCUCUGAUGUUAGCGGCGGACGGGUGAGUAACACGUGGAUAACCUACCUAUAAGACUGGGAUAACUUCGGGAAACCGGAGCUAAUACCGGAUAAUAUUUUGAACCGCAUGGUUCAAAAGUGAAAGACGGUCUUGCUGUCACUUAUAGAUGGAUCCGCGCUGCAUUAGCUAGUUGGUAAGGUAACGGCUUACCAAGGCAACGAUGCAUAGCCGACCUGAGAGGGUGAUCGGCCACACUGAGACUGAGACACGGUCCAGACUCCUACGGGAGGCAGCAGUAGGGAAUCUUCCGAAAUGGGCGAAAGCCUGACAGAGCAACGCCGCGUGAGUGAUGAAGGUCUUCGGAUCGUAAAACUCUGUUAUUAGGGAAGAACAUAUGUGUAAGUAACUGUGCACAUCUUGACGGUACCUAAUCAGAAAGCCACGGCUAACUACGUG
Molecule: ribosomal RNA, 497 nt
Filed under: uncultured bacterium
Lineage: Bacteria
Description: partial 16S ribosomal RNA
Rfam family: Bacterial small subunit ribosomal RNA
Source: RNAcentral